This is a long non-coding RNA of Gorilla gorilla gorilla (western lowland gorilla), 3537 nucleotides long. RefSeq lists it as uncharacterized. The transcript has 3 exons. Lineage: Eukaryota; Metazoa; Chordata; Mammalia; Primates; Hominidae. The record is from RefSeq and is a predicted model, not a curated record.
AUGAGAAUCCAGAGGAAAAUAAAUUGGGCCUGUCUAAAGUAAUAUUUCAGUUUUUAAAAACUGCUUAGCCUGAAAAUCAUGUGCCUCAUUUAAUUCCCUGCAGGCUGGAAAUUUGACAGGAGAGAUAAAUUGCACCAGGAACAUUAUUUUCAUUCAGAAAGGAUCCCAUCGAGGACAGUGCAUGACAUUCAGUCCUUGUGUCUUCUUAGACUCUUCUACACUGUGACAGUUUCUCAGGUGCAGUGGCAUGAUCUCAGCUCACUGCAACCUCCGCCUCCUGGGUUCAAGCGAUUCUCCUGCCUCAGCCUCCCGAGUAGGUGGCAGUACAGGCAUGCACCACCACACCUGGCUAAUUUUGUAUUUUUAGUGGAGACGGGGUUUCUCCAUGUUGGUCAGGCUGGUCUUGAACUCCUGAACUCAGGUGAUCUGCCCACCUCAGCCUCCCAAAGUGCUGGGAUUACAGGCAUGAGCCACCACGCCCAGCCUGCCCUUGACAGUUUUAAGGGGUACUGCACAGGUAUUCUGUAGUGGAAUACCCUUUAAUUUUGAGUUUUUCUGAUGGUGAGACGAGUUGUGAGUUUGGAGAGAAGACUGCAGAGAAGUAUCUUUUCUCUGGACCACUAACACAAUCAUGUUGAUACAAUGGAACUCACAUCCCCUCUCCAUAUUUGAUUGGAUCAGGUGUGGACAUCUGGCCCAAGCUGGACCAACAGGCUCCUUCCCUGAGCUUUUGGUGCUGAGAUUAAGAUUCCAGUCUCAACCUGACUUCUGUCACUCUCCCAUGAGAUAGAAGAAUAGAGGAGACAUGGAGAAACACAGUCAAGAGGUAGAGGUGGUGGGAGGGACCUCCUUGAUUCACAAUGGACUCUAUUCCCUUCCUGAAUUCCAGUGGAACCAUGGCCCUGUGUUCUGUGAGACACCCUAGAAUCCUUCAACAAUAUCCACUUUUGGCUGAACCGAGUGGGUUUUGGUCACCUAGAACCAAAAGAAUCCUCAAACGUAACCCGAUUAAGAGCAAAACAACAUGCCUUUGUUUUUUGUUUUUUUUUUUUUUUUGAGACGGAGUCUUGCUCUGUUGCCCAGGCUGGAGUAUAGUGGCACGAUCUCGGCUCACUGCAGCCUCUGCCUCCCAAGUUCCAGCGAUUGUGCCACCACACCUGGCUAAUUUUUGUAUUUUUAGUAGAGACAAGGUUUCACCAUGUUGGCCAGCCUGGUCUUGAACUCCUGACCUCAGGUGAUCCACCCACCUCAGUCUUCCAAAGUGCUAGGAUUACAGGCAUGAGCCACUACACCUGGCCAACCUGCCAUUUUAUAUAUUCUCUGAGUCAUCAGCAUGGGCCUCUCAAAUGAUGGACUUGCUGGAUUUCUGUUUAUUUCCUUCGCUGUGCACUAAGUAGGUCAGCUCCCAAGAAUGACUAGUUUGGAGGUGGAGGGACUAGUGGAAUAUGCUUAGAAUGGUGCCUAAGCCAAGCUGGGAACCAACAAAUUGGUUUUGGGCUCUACUUUAGUUUUUCUUGUUGUUUGUCUGCUUUUUUUUUUUUGGCCUGGGGGGAAAAAAACCCACAAAUGUCUUUCCCCAGUUUCCUUCAGUAACAGAUGCAAAUAGCAGUUUAUACUUGGGAUGGUGCUCGGGGAAAUAAAUAGUGUCUCAGAACCAAUUACUGAAAUGACCAGAAUGGAUAUAAAAUGUGGCUGCAUAAUUUCCUAAGUCCCAUUUCUCAGGGUAAAAAUGGUUCAGAGACCAUCCAAAUGCUUCUCCGAAGAAAUUACACAAGCGAGAUGGAAAAAGAAAGUAUUGGUUUCUCAACGCUGGUAAUAAUUAGGACUUGAAUGAGUGGUGAUAAACCCAUUUACAGACAGGAAGUGUGAAGGCCUGAAUGGCCAGGAGAUUUGCUAAGUGAUGACAAGGUCAAGAUCAGGCCUCUGGCCUCUGAGCCCAGCUCCCUAAGCCUAGUGAACUUUGAAUGACACCUGAUUUUUUGCCCCAUCCAGCACCCAUUUUCUGAUUGCAAUUUGGAGGAAUGAACAUACGACCCAGAACCUGGCCAAUCAGAAUAUUCUACUGCCACCUCUUCCCCUCUCCCCCACCAUAGUAAUCAGUUCAGCCAUGGGCAAAUUAUCCAAGUUGAGGCAAUAAUACUCAGUCCCAUGACUUCCAUUGAAACUUCUAAUGAAACGAUCUCUCUCUGUUGGGAUUGCUACCUGACGGCUAAUGUAAGCUUAGAGCCACUGGGAUUGCCAUAUGGAAAGCAUCUGCCUGAGAGUGAAGCCAACAGAAGUAGAUGCAGAAAAACUGAGUCCUACUGAUGGCAUUUGAUCCCUUGGAUCCAGCCAUGCUGGAUAUGGGAUAUGGGAAACCUUGAAGUACAGUGACUACUGUGGAUAAGGGGUCAAUGGGUAAGUGGUUUCCUUGUGGGAUGAUGAAAAUGUUUGGCAUCUAGAGGUGAUGGUUGCACAAGACUGUGAUUGUACAUAAAGCCACUGAAGGGUACACUUUAAAAUGAUGAAUGCUAUGUUACGUGAAUUUCGCCUUCUUUUUUUAAAAAGGGGGAAAGAGGCCAGGCGUGGUGGCUCACGCUUGUAAUCUCAGCACUUUGGGAGGCCAAGGUGGGCAGAUUACCUGACGUCAGGAGCUCGAGACCAGCCUGGCCAAUAUGGUGAAACCCUGUCUCUACCAAGAAUACAAAAAUUAGCUGGGUGUGGCAGUGUGUGCCUGUAGUCCCAGCUAUUUGGGAGGCUAAGGCAGGAGAAUCGCUUGAACCCAGGAGGCGAAGUUUGCAGUGAGUUGAGAUUGCACCACUGCACUCCUGCCUGGGCAGCAGAGCAAGACUCUGUCUCAAAAAAAAAAAAAAAAAAAAAAAAAAAGAGGUUGGGGGAAGAGCAUAAUUUUAACCAUGCAGCUAUCAGAGAUUUCACAAAAGGAGUGUCACUGAAGCUAGAUAUGGUGGUCAAGAGGCAGGAGAAGGGGGAGAUGCUUUCUAGGCCUAAUAACAAGGUGCUAAGCCCUUCUGAUGGGGUCUGAACAUCUGUUUCCUCCAAAUCUCAUGUUAAAAUUUGAUCCCCAGUGUUGGAAGUGGGGCCUGUUGAGAGGUGUUUGGAUGAUGGGAGCAGAUCCCUUGUGAAUGGCUUCAUGCCAUGUUUGCAGGAUUGAGUGAGUUCUCACCCUUAAUUCCCAAGAGAUCUGGCUGUUAAAGAAGCUGGCAUCUUCCUCUUUUCUCUUCCUCUCUCUUGACAUGUGAUGUCUGUUCCCCUUCACCUUCCACAGUGAUUGUAAGAUUCUUGGGCCCCUCACCAGAAUCAGAUGCUGGCACCAUGUUUCUUGUAUAACCUGCAGAACUAUGAGCCAAAUAAACCUCUUUUAUUUAUAAAUUACCCAACCUCCGGUACUCCUUUACAGCAACGUGAAAUGGACUAAGAUACCUCUACCUACAGUAAUUACAUCGUUAAUCCUCAGAGCAACCCUUGAGGUAGUAAAUAUUACUUUAGCCUUGUUUUAUAGGUAAGUAUGCAAGGGCCAGAAAGGGGACAUAACUUGCC